GUAUUGAUUGCGUGUGACCGCAAAAACAAAACAUUCUAGACUGUAUCAAAUUUUGUGUGAAAACGUGAGCCCUCCUGCAAAGGGGGGACCCGCGCGGUGAUGCACAAAGGGGUGAGAUGGAUUUUGUGCGAGAGCGCUCGGGCGUGCACGACCUUUGGAGGUCAGCGACAGCCUUUGCGCCUCCGUUGUACGAUAAUGAUCCUUCCGCAGGUUCACCUACGGAAA
This 225-nucleotide unclassified non-coding RNA is filed under the name uncultured fungus. Its description in RNAcentral is "sequence contains ITS1". Lineage: Eukaryota; Fungi. The record is from RNAcentral.